ACCUGCCCGCAGCAGCGCCCUGCGCACACCGGGCCCCUUCGGCAGCGGAGCGCGUCCCGGUGCUGCCCCCCGCUCGGCUCUCAGUGACCCUCUGGAGCACCGCUGACACGAGUCACGGCUGUGCUCGUCCUGCCUGAGCCGGACUGGCUGAAGAAUUCAAAAUCUCCCCAGGCGUAAAUUUCUUCCCAUCACGUUGUGCUUUUACUUGGUCCCACACACCUACACCACUUCUCCAUUUUUUCCUUUUGCAUUUUUUGUUCACUUGAUUUUUUCCCCUAACACCUGUGUUGGUAGGGAGUUGCAAUUUGGGUUUGUGUUUUUUAUUCUUUUUUUAUUCUCAUUAAUUCACAAAUAAUGACAGGGGAAGUUUCAAAAACCCCCCAGUUCCCAUCUUGCAAGGAGCUUGAAGAACAGCAGGAAAAUGGUUGUGUGGAAAUGAAGAGAGGUAGGUAGACGUGUUCUGUAUUUUGUUGUAUUUGCUGCCAGUGUCUCAGGAAGAAUGGGCUUAUGGGAGAGUCUGGAGAGCUGAGCUUUUGUGGAUUGACCAUGGGAGCUCUUGUCAUGGUGGUAAAAUAUGCAAUGGAAAGGUACAUGGUUAGGGAAUGCUGAUGGAGUGUUCAAUUGGUAGGGACAACACGAUGCUCAACAGAACAGUGCAGACCAGGGGAAUGCAGUCAGGUUGAACUUCAAAGUAUGACAGAAAUUCAGAUGUGUGGGAACAGCAGGUGAAGAACAAUUGGAAGGCUGCCAAGGAGCAAUUGAUGCACUCACGUUUGUGAGAGGUGUUUGGUCGCCUGCAGCUUCCUUGCGAAGAGCAUUACAUGGUUGGGAUGCAGAGAAGAAAGCUUUGCAGUAGCUGUGGUGAUAUAUUCUGAAGAGGUCUAACCAGCAUAUUUGUCUGUGAAAAUGGUAACAGACUACUCUUUAAGCUGGUGGGGUAGAAGGAAAGCCUGGGACCUGGUGCUAUUUGUGUUUAUCUCUUGGGAAAAGGGAGGGAAGACAGUAGGAAUGGGACUAUGUUACUCAUAUCAGCUAUGAAUGAGAAAUGGGAAAGUGAGGCUAAAUCAAGGCAACUCUGCACUUCAGCUAGCACAAACUGAUGGAAAAAUCUCCAGGAAGAGAUGCCAGACAGCAGCUUCAGCACUGGGACUGAACAGAGGCAGAAAGGUUGAUGACAGAGGGAGAAUCUGAGAAUCACAAGUACAGAAACACUAUCUAAAAUCCUUGAGAAUUGCCAACCAGAGGACACAAAGGGAAAACAGGGCUGUGAACCCAAGCCUGGCAUUAAGAAAGGAAAAGAGGAUGUUGACUCACUGACAAAAAUAAUACAUGCAAAAAAUCUUUUCAAUCAUAGUAAAUGCCUGUUUUUGCUAAUAAUAAAUCUGGGGACCAAUGGGAGAGAACUGUAGGGUAGGUUCUGAGAGUUAACAGAGGCUGUGGAGGGUAGGUGACCCAGGAAAGAUGUGACUCCCAGGCUUGUGGGUCCUUCUGGUCACAUCCACAACUGUAAAGACUCUUUCCCAGCUCAUUAGCUCCCACCUUCCAUGUUAUCUUACCUUCAGUGAGUGAUUCCUCUUUAGGAAUUUUGGUGUUGGCUUCCCUUGCUUGGGUUUCCCUUCUUGUCUGGGGAACUGAAGGAGGGUGGUGCAGGACCUUAGAAGUCAUCAGGGAGUACAUGUUAAAAGCUAGAAAGCUUGUUUAAAAAGAUUUUUCAUGGACUCAGGUGGGGAGGCCAUGCUUAAGUGACCUGUGAGGUUUCUUUGAAGUUACUAGACCUGUAAUUGAUGAAGAAGCAUUGGUAGAAACAGAAGAGUUGGAUGCUUCAAAGGACAUGAAAGAGGGCCCCAAAUCAGAGAGUGAUGAGCAAGCGGGAGCUUGUGAGCUCUGGAGCAAGAUAGCUGCUGAAAUAGAGGACCUUUUAGAAAUAUAAAUUGGAAUGUAAGUUUAGACACUAUUUUCAUGCGGAAAAUGAAAGAUAGCAUCAAGUUUGAAGUUUAUAUUGAAGUGUGAGAGGGAAAAUGUUCAAAAAUAAUAUCUUUAUUUAACAGGGAUUAUGACACAAAGAGUUUGCUUUGCAUGGUAGAUUAUAGCACGAUUUGCAUUUGUUUAAUUAGCCAUAGUUGGUAACACCAUAUAGAUGGCUGUUGGUUUGCAUGGAAUGGAAGUUUUAAGACAGUCUAGCAGCUGCUAUGUCUGAGUAAAGUUUUGCUUUAAACUUGCCAUAUAGCAAUAUAAAAUUCUAGCUUAAUUGUAAAAAAUGAUUUUCCAUAUUAGAAAUAUUUGGAUUAUUAUAAACCAAAUAAUCUAAUUUUCCAAGUUCCAAUUUGCAGGCAAACACUACGUAUGGAAUUAUGAUUAAUCCCAAACUUGACAGUGUCACUUUUGUCCCCCUAGUCCCAUGAAAAAUAACAAUAUUAUAACUGGAUUUUAUUCUAGUUCGUGUUUGACAUCUUUAAAUCUUUAAACAUCUGGUUUAUAUUUGAUAUCUUUUAGGAGGACUUAAUGUGAAGGUGGAUGUGUAAGUCCACAGGUUAUCUAGUUUUUCUGGAAUACUACUUGUUUUAAGUUAACUUAUUAAUUGAUCUCUUAAAAGUUUUACAUGUUAAAAAGAACGAAACCAGCGCUAAUAAUGCUGGGAGACCUCUGUAGGGAGCCCAGAGUUGGUAGGUUAUCCCAACAGUUCACAGUCUGUUUGGAAAAGAAUUAUGGUAUAGCAGCAGGAGGUGUUAUUAUCAGAAAAUUUUUAAAUGCACUAAAAACUAUUCACCUUGGAAAUACAUUUUUCCCCCCUAAACUGUUUCUAAUAAUUGGUGAGAGAUUUUGAUGGUAUCUAUGUUGAGGUGGAGCUGACCAAAAUCUGGCAUAAGUGAGGAAAAUAAGCUGUGGAGUUUAGAAGGGUCUCUGAAGGUCUCUCUUGUGGCACACUCAGGAGAGUAUAUGUGCACUUUGAACAGUCCUUUUGGUCUAUCUAUAAUUUUUGUCAGUACUUCUAACUCAAAAGUUUUAAUAGAGUGGAAGAAUAACUUCAAACCAUAGAUAUAUUUUAUUUUCAAAACUACUGUGGAGCUGAGUUAGAGAGUGAGUCUGUUUACUAAUUUUGUCCCUGGUGUUAGAUCACCUCACUGUUCUGAUGACACAGGAUGAGUAAGUCCUUCUUUCCCCCCGUAUCUCGUGUACUGGGAUCACCUUUGUUGCCCUAUACUUCAGCAUCCUCAGGGUAAUCAUAUACAAGAAAAGGUAGGUUGUCUUUCAGGAAGAAGUCUAAAUUCUGUCUACAAAGUAAAAAAAAAAAAAACCAAGCUAGUGGGUUCAUAUGCUAUUCUUUUGUUGAUCCCCCUGCUCUCUACUUCUUUAGCUGAGAACUGCAGUGAUUUCUAACUCCAAAGGAGCUUUCUUAUCAAUGUGGGAGAUGACUGAGCAUAUAUUCCCUAAUACUCCUAAACUUAGUAACCCAUUAAUUUGAAGUGCAAUUUUAACCUUUUUCUAGAAUUUUAUUUCAUCAUUUUCAUUAUUGUAUGAAGAUAUUUUGCUUACUGAAGAUGCUGGAUUGACAGAUCUGAAUCCCAGUACUGCACAGGCACAGAAAUGCACAUCAGGAAACUCUACUGUGUGCUUUGGUGCUUUACUAGUGUAUCAAGGGUACUUGAUUCUGCACUCCUCUGUAGCCUCUUCCUUCACUGGGGUUUCUAGUGAGGACACCAACAAUGCUGACAGCUGAAGAAGCUCCCACUCCUGAAAUGUAAGCCUAGCUCUGACUUCCUCAGUCAGCUUAUCUUCAAAGAAAAAGAAUGACCCAUUGUAACAAUAUGAAGAGGAAAUGAGAUGUUGAGAGAACCUGUGGCUUUGUGCACAACUAUGAAUAUAACUGCAGAGUACAUUCAAAAUGUUUUAAAGCUUGGGGAGGCUCAGAGAAUUAUUUGUAAGAGUUAUAACCUCAAAAGAAAAGGCAGCCAGGGUUGGAAGACCAGUUUUGUGAUGCUUGAAUGCUAUAAUUCAGCCUGUGCUCUCUUGUAUUGAAUUCAUGACAACUCAACAGUAUUGCAGAGCAGUUCUUUAUCUAAGUUUUAGAUUACAUCAUGCAGUGAAUUGCUCUAUCUGUUAGCAUUGACCCUUGUAAAUCAUUUGGUUUGAGGUCUUCAAAUGGAAAGCUGUGAUGCACUUCAGGAUGCAAUGUACUCAUUUUGUCCUUGAAAAUCAUUUAAAAAUAAAGCAGCUGCAAUUGCAUAGAUGUUAUUACUUUUCUGAAAGGCUAGACUUACCCCUCUGAAUUGUCAUUAAUUGGAUGAAAGCCUUUCAUAGAAAGAAUGAGAAUGGAGAAGAAAAUUGUGGGUUGGUGCUUGAUGUUGACUGAGGGAGUCCUAGAGAUGCUGCAUGUCUGCAGAGAUGUGUAGUCCAAAGCCUGAUGCAAAGAAGGCAUGAUGCUUUUAAUGAGAGUAACCACGGCAGCAGAAGUUAUGGAGAAAUGCUUGUUCCUGUACUUUUAUAGCUGGAUUUUUUGUUCUUCAUUGCUUGUACUUAAUUACUUUUUCUUGAAUAUGUGCUUUGUUCCCAUCCACGUUUUUCAACUGUUACAUGGCUUUGCUUUGAGCUGAGAAGCAUUUGCUGUGGUCUGCCUGGUGAGAUGCACUUGUUCAUCCAUUUCUAUUGGGCUGACAUUUCUGAGUGAAGGUUCUUUUUGAUUUGCUAAUUCUAUUGGGAUGGAAAAAUGGAAAUUAUUUUUCUGGAAAAAAAUGGAAAUAAUAUUGUGACAUGUUAGAGAUCAUCUUUGAUCUUUACCCACUCCAUUAACUAAGAGAAACUCCCAACUGAAUCCAUUUGGUUUUGUUGAAAAUUUAUGGGAGAUGGAACUGAGCAGACACAAUUAUGGAGAUGGUGCCCACAAAUAAGGUGAGGUGGUGGAGUGGUGUUGUGCUGCUUGCUGAAGGACUAGGGAGAUUUCCAAGCUGUCUUACCUGUAGGGAAAGAGAAGAUUGCAGCUUUCUGGCAGAAAGGGCAAUAAACACGGCAAAAAAGCAUGUCUUACCCCCAACUUCUUAAAUCUGGCAUGUAACUGGCCUGGGUGAGGCACUGUGCUUCUCUUGGACUGUGUCCUUGAGUCAAGGCUGUAGUAAAAGUGUCAGGAUUUGUCUUUGAUGAGACAUUCCCCAAAAUAGAAAUAAUUGUUCCUCAAGAAAUCAUGGGGGUAAAUCACAGCAAAAUCUACUUUCAGCAUCUGAAAUUAAGCAUACAGCUAAUGUAGCUUUGUUACAAUGCAGAUCUAUGGAAGGAUAUAGAUUUGUCCCUUGUCUUCUUUGUGCUGAUCUAGGUGUGAUCCAGCAAAAAACCAGCUGGUGAUGAGGAAAAUUGAGCUUACACAAUUGGAAGUUUCCUGUCAGCACAUAACAAAAAAAACCCCUUAUCUAAACUCGUUACUACGAGCUGAACUCAGUCAUCCUGAGGGCUCUGAAUCUGCAUUGCCAAAAGAGCUCACACAGGCUGGAACCCUUUAACUCCUACAUGUCCUAUAGCUAGGGUUUAAGAAAGGGCCAGAGACUGGGCUUUAUUUUAUUGGUUGAUUUAUUUUGGUCAGUUCUAGAAGGUCCUUGAGUUUUUCAGACUGGCCCAGUCAGCCUUUUCUGAAAACAAAACUCUACUAAUGCUGUCAUUAUGUUUUUAAGAUCUCAGCCAAUUUGCAGGUGCAUGAACAUAGCAACAGACACAAACACAUAGAUACAGACAUAUGUAUUUCACAACUACUAUAUACAGAAUACAGAACAGGAGGUGCUAGUCUUUUCUUGAAAAAGGCAUGCAGCUCUCAGUGCUGCAAGUGUAUAAUUUUCAUUUAACCACCAAAAAAAGAAGAAAAAAAUAGGGUCUGUUUCUGACCAAGGAGUAGGGAAUAUGCUCCAUUUUAUGAAAUGUAUGUACUUGCCCGUCAGCUGACUAUUUCUCUAAUACAAGAAAUUAAUUAGAACAUUUUUUAUCCUUUUUUUUUACUGAAAUGAGAACUUUGUUUUUGUUUAAUGAUUCACUUUUCACAGCUGUUAUUACUUCUUCAACCUACUCUGAGUUCACAAUAGUAACUGAAAUGUCCUCAAGGAAACAGAUGGGAAAAUGGCCUGUAAGUCUUUAUUGUUAUAAACGAUUUGUAAAACUUUAGAUGUUGAAAGGUAAGAGUAGUUUAAAUAAAUCUCAACAAUGCUGACUCAAAGGUUUAAAGCAUUGCUUAAAUCCCUUGAUUAACCCAACUUCUCAAUAUUUGACAUGAAUCAAUAACUCUGAGAUGUCUUUUCUGUUCUCUAGCUUUGUAAAUAUUUACACAGCCAGUCCCAUGAAAUAUGACAUUUAAUCCUGCUGAAGUAAUUAUUUGAAUGCUGCAUAUGAAGAGAUAUAAAGUAUAAUAGUUCCAGUGAUGCUAGUUAAAUAAUUGGCACUAAGGAUGAAAUCUGCUGCAUUUUUUUUUGUCAAGAGCCAGGAUUUAUGCAACUAAAUGUGAAUAAAUGGAAAGCAAAAUCCACUUUCUGUCCCAAAUCUUGGACCAGCUGCUGGGAAUGCAGGUUUCUUUAUCCCUUCUCAUGCCUGGGCCUAUACCUUAGCAUUGACAGCAGCCUUUUGUUCCAGCUAAAUUAAGUGUUGAGAGACAGAAGAAAGGCAAUAGGGGAGGGAUGGCACCUCUGUUAGCUUGUUCUCUGCCUUUUCCUUCUGGGACACACUAUAAAGACUGAUCUCUGCACUCCAGGAAGCAGGAACAUGCUCUACCCAGAGUUUCCAGGACCUGGGAAGGCUUCUGUAGGAGUUCUGGUGCAAUAGGACUAUACCAGCUCUGCAGACUGUGCCUGGAAUUCCUGGGACCGAGCAGAGUGGUUCAAGAAGGAGCAGAUGGGAACAGCUGCCAACAGAUGAGUACUGGAAGGGAUUCAAGCCACACUACUUGCUGGAACUUGAGAGUUUGUGAUGGCCUGAGCUUUCCCAACCACAUGUAUCUAAGAUUUGGAAUCAGGCAGCUGUCAGUCAGUUCUUAUUUAUGAGGACCAGAAAAUAAAACAACCCACUGUUUUCCUAUGGUGUGGUUGCAGAUAGCACUAAAGUGUAUGGGCCUCCAGGUGGUGUCUGAAGACUGAUUUUUUUCUGUUUCUGCACCAACAAACCUUACAUUAUGGAAAGAUGAUCAAACAGAACAUGGAGUUCACCAAGCAACAAUUUCAGGAAGAAAUGCAGUUUAAAUUUUUCCCAGCAGAUGUGGCUGUUGGACCAGAAAAGGCUCAAGGGAAGUCAAGGGGAGACCUUUACCAAAUUGGACUUUGAUGAAGACACUGAGUGGUCAGUCCUGCCUCAGAACCUCCUCUGAUCGAUCCAUGGGAGCCUGGGCUGCUCCACAGAAUGGUCCUGUGCCUUGACACUGAUUUAUCAUCCACCAUGACCACAAGCUCAUGGAUGAGGAAGGAAUACCCAUGGCUGCUACCAUCCCUGCCCCUCUGGCUUCAGAUAAAUCACCAAGUUUGAGCAUGACUGCCCCAGGAAGGAGAAGCAACUGCAUUGCUCUGCCCAACUCGUGGCAGCUUGUUCCUCUCCUCUCCACAGGACAUUGAUCUUCAAGGGCAUACACGAUUAAAGGAGGGGAGACAUUCCCUGGAAUUAGCUGUUCCCUCUUUCUUUUUCCUUCUUAAGAGAGAUCCUGCCAUGUGGGGACCCCACCUCCCUUCGUGGGUGCUCAAGGCAUGAGGAAGGACUUUGUCUUCUGCCUGGGGAGGUACCGAAGGC
Molecule: long non-coding RNA, 7740 nt
Organism: Catharus ustulatus (Swainson's thrush)
Lineage: Eukaryota; Metazoa; Chordata; Aves; Passeriformes; Turdidae
Exons: 5
Source: RefSeq, a predicted model, not a curated record